This 1469-nucleotide ribosomal RNA is filed under the name metagenome. Its description in RNAcentral is "bacterial SSU rRNA". It matches the Rfam family "Bacterial small subunit ribosomal RNA". The record is from RNAcentral.
AGAGUUUGAUCCUGGCUCAGGACGAACGCUGGCGGCACGCUUAACACAUGCAAGUCGAACGAGAGAAGAGGAGCUUGCUUUUCUGAUCAAGCGGCGGACGGGUGAGUAACACGUGAGCAAUCUGCCUUUCAGAGGGGGAUACCGAUUGAAACGAUCGUUAAUACCGCAUAACAUAAUUGAACCGCAUGAUUUGAUUAUCAAAGAUUUAUCGCUGAAAGAUGAGCUCGCGUCUGAUUAGCUAGUUGGUAAGGUAACGGCUUACCAAGGCGACGAUCAGUAGCCGGACUGAGAGGUUGAUCGGCCACAUUGGGACUGAGACACGGCCCAGACUCCUACGGGAGGCAGCAGUGGGGAAUAUUGCACAAUGGAGGAAACUCUGAUGCAGCGAUGCCGCGUGAGGGAAGAAGGUUUUAGGAUUGUAAACCUCUGUCUUCAGGGACGAAAAAAGACGGUACCUGAGGAGGAAGCUCCGGCUAACUACGUGCCAGCAGCCGCGGUAAUACGUAGGGAGCGAGCGUUGUCCGGAAUUACCGGGUGUAAAGGGAGCGUAGGCGGGAUCGCAAGUCAGAUGUGAAGACUAUGGGCUUAACCCAUAAACUGCAUUUGAAACUGUGGUUCUUGAGUGAAGUAGAGGUAAGCGGAAUUCCUAGUGUAGCGGUGAAAUGCGUAGAUAUCAGGAGGAACAUCAGUGGCGAAGGCGGCUUACUGGGCUUUAACUGACGCUGAGGCUCGAAAGCGUGGGGAGCAAACAGGAUUAGAUACCCUGGUAGUCCACGCCGUAAACGAUGAUUACUAGGUGUGGGGGGACUGACCCCUUCCGUGCCGCAGCAAACGCAAUAAGUAAUCCACCUGGGGAGUACGACCGCAAGGUUGAAACUCAAAGGAAUUGACGGGGGCCCGCACAAGCAGUGGAGUAUGUGGAUUAAUUCGAAGCAACGCGAAGAACCUUACCAGGUCUUGACAUCGUAUGCAUAGCUCAGAGAUGAGUGAAAUCUCUUCGGAGACAUAUAGACAGGUGGUGCAUGGUUGUCGUCAGCUCGUGUCGUGAGAUGUUGGGUUAAGUCCCGCAACGAGCGCAACCCUUACUGUUAGUUGCUACGCAAGAGCACUCUAGCAGGACUGCCGUUGACAAAACGGAGGAAGGUGGGGAUGACGUCAAAUCAUCAUGCCCCUUAUGACCUGGGCCUCACACGUACUACAAUGGCUGUCAACAGAGGGAAGCAAAGCCGCGAGGUGGAGCGAACCCCUAAAAGCAGUCUUAGUUCGGAUUGUAGGCUGCAACCCGCCUACAUGAAGUCGGAAUUGCUAGUAAUCGCAGAUCAGCAUGCUGCGGUGAAUACGUUCCCGGGCCUUGUACACACCGCCCGUCACGCCAUGGGAGUCGGUAACACCCGAAGCCUGUAGUCUAACCGCAAGGAGGACGCAGUCGAAGGUGGGAUUGAUGACUGGGGUGAAGUCGUAACAAGGUA